GAUGAAGAACGUAGCGAAAUGCGAUAAGUAAUGUGAAUUGCAGAAUUCAGUGAAUCAUCGAAUCUUUGAACGCACAUUGCGCCCGCCAGUAUUCUGGCGGGCAUGCCUGUCUGAGCGUCAUUUCAACCCUCAUGCCCCUAGGGCGUGGUGUUGGGGAUCGGCCAAAGCCCGCGAGGGACGGCCGGCCCCUAAAUCUAGUGGCGGACCCGUCGUGGCCUCCUCUGCGAAGUAGUGAUAUUCCGCAUCGGAGAGCGAUGAGCCCCUGCCGUUAAACCCCCAACUUUCCAAGGUUGACCUCAGGUCAGGUAGGAAUACCCGCUGAACUUAAGCAUAUCAAUAAGCGGAGGA
This 348-nucleotide unclassified non-coding RNA is filed under the name soil metagenome. Its description in RNAcentral is "partial contains 5.8S ribosomal RNA, internal transcribed spacer 2, and large subunit ribosomal RNA". The stretch from base 1 to 120 matches the Rfam family "5.8S ribosomal RNA", at positions 35 to 154 of the family's 154-position model. The record is from RNAcentral.